UCUCCGUAGGUGAACCUGCGGAGGGAUCAUUACCGGGCUCAUGCCCUUACGGGUAGAUCUCCCACCCUGUGUUAUUAUUACCUUUGUUGCUUUGGCGGGCCGCCAGGCUCCGGUCAGGCUAUCGGCUUCGGCUGGUAAGCGCCCGCCAGAGGACCCUAUAUCCUGAUUAUUAGUGUCGUCUGAGUACUAUAUAAUAGUUAAAACUUUCAACAACGGAUCUCUUGGUUCUG
This 230-nucleotide unclassified non-coding RNA is filed under the name plant metagenome. RNAcentral describes it as "partial contains small subunit ribosomal RNA, internal transcribed spacer 1, and 5.8S ribosomal RNA". The record is from RNAcentral.